Molecule: ribosomal RNA, 653 nt
Filed under: uncultured bacterium
Lineage: Bacteria
Description: partial 16S ribosomal RNA
Rfam family: Bacterial small subunit ribosomal RNA
Source: RNAcentral
UGGUCUGUCACUGACGNUGAGGCUCGAAAGCGUGGGUAGCGAACAGGAUUAGAUACCCUGGUAGUCCACGCCGUAAACGCUGAGUGCUAGGUGUUAGGUCCUUUCCGGGACUUAGUGCCGACGCUAACGCAUUAAGCACUCCGCCUGGGGAGUACGACCACAAGGUUGAAACUCAAAGGAAUUGACGGGGGCCCGCACAAGCGGUGGAGCAUGUGGUUUAAUUCGAAGCAACGCGAAGAACCUUACCAGGUCUUGACAUCCCGAUGCCCGCUCUAGAGAUAGAGUUUUACUUUUUGUACAUCGGAGACAGGUGGUGCAUGGUUGUCGUCAGCUCGUGUCGUGAGAUGUUGGGUUANNNNNNNNNNNNNNGCGCAACCCUUAUUGUUAGUUGCCAUCAUUAAGUUGGGCACUCUAGCGAGACUGCCGGUAAUAAACCGGAGGAAGGUGGGGAUGACGUCAAAUCAUCAUGCCCCUUAUGGCCUGGGCUACACACGUGCUACAAUGGUUGGUACAACGAGUCGCAAGCCGGUGACGGCAAGCUAAUCUCUGAAAGCCAAUCUCAGUUCGGAUUGUAGGCUGCAACUCGCCUACAUGAAGUCGGAAUCGCUAGUAAUCGCGGAUCAGCACGCCGCGGNGAAUACGUUCCCGGGCCU